Molecule: ribosomal RNA, 389 nt
Filed under: Pseudomonas sp. GS8S2
Lineage: Bacteria; Pseudomonadati; Pseudomonadota; Gammaproteobacteria; Pseudomonadales; Pseudomonadaceae
Description: bacterial SSU rRNA
Rfam family: Bacterial small subunit ribosomal RNA
Source: RNAcentral
ACACGUUUCGAAAGGAACGCUAAUACCGCAUACGUCCUACGGGAGAAAGCAGGGGACCUUCGGGCCUUGCGCUAAUAGAUGAGCCUAGGUCGGAUUAGCUAGUUGGUGGGGUAAAGGCUCACCAAGGCGACGAUCCGUAACUGGUCUGAGAGGAUGAUCAGUCACACUGGAACUGAGACACGGUCCAGACUCCUACGGGAGGCAGCAGUGGGGAAUAUUGGACAAUGGGCGAAAGCCUGAUCCAGCCAUGCCGCGUGUGUGAAGAAGGUCUUCGGAUUGUAAAGCACUUUAAGUUGGGAGGAAGGGUUGUAGAUUAAUACUCUGCAAUUUUGACGUUACCGACAGAAUAAGCACCGGCUAACUCUGUGCCAGCAGCCGCGGGAAUACGA